RNAcentral lists this ribosomal RNA (253 nucleotides) under uncultured bacterium. RNAcentral describes it as "partial 16S ribosomal RNA". It matches the Rfam family "Bacterial small subunit ribosomal RNA", at positions 524 to 776 of the family's 1533-position model. The record is from RNAcentral.
UACGAAGGGGGCUAGCGUUGCUCGGAAUCACUGGGCGUAAAGCGCACGUAGGCGGCUUGUUAAGUCAGGGGUGAAAUCCUGGAGCUCAACUCCAGAACUGCCUUUGAUACUGGCGAGCUUGAGUCCGGGAGAGGUGAGUGGAACUGCGAGUGUAGAGGUGAAAUUCGUAGAUAUUCGCAAGAACACCAGUGGCGAAGGCGGCUCACUGGCCCGUAACUGACGCUGAGGCACGAAAGCGUGGGGAGCAAACAGG